Molecule: ribosomal RNA, 258 nt
Filed under: uncultured methanogenic archaeon
Lineage: Archaea; Methanobacteriati; Methanobacteriota
Description: partial 16S ribosomal RNA
Rfam family: Archaeal small subunit ribosomal RNA
Source: RNAcentral
UAAGUCUCUGGGGAAAUCUUUUGGCUCAACCGAGGGGAUUGUCGGGGAUACUGGCGAGCUUGGAGCCGGGAGAGGUAGGAGGUACUUCGGGGGUAGGAGUGAAAUCUUGUAAUCCUGGAGGGACCACCUGUGGCGAAGGCGUCUUACUGGAACGGCUUCGACAGGUGAGGGACGAAAGCUGGGGGAGCGAACCGGAUUAGAUACCCGGGUAGUCCUGGCCGUAAACGAUGUGCGUUUGGUGUGUCAGAUGACCACCAA